Molecule: non-coding RNA, 1873 nt
Organism: Microcebus murinus (gray mouse lemur)
Lineage: Eukaryota; Metazoa; Chordata; Mammalia; Primates; Cheirogaleidae
Source: RefSeq, a predicted model, not a curated record
UUAAACAGUACAUCAAUGACAAUGGGAAUGCAUGGCCUUUCCUCUCUGAGCCUCAGUCCGCUCCCUGCACCUUGGAGAUGACACACAUGUGCCCGCAGGAGAGAGAGAGGAGUUGGCACCAAGGGCGGCUUCAGGUCUGCAAAGACCCAUGACCCUGCCUGCCCUCAAGAGGGGCGUGGCAGGUACCCCUGAAACCAGAAAUGACAGAGAGAGAGCCCCACACAGAGCAGCACAGAUAGGAUGGGCCGCCAGACACAGCAUAUAUGUAAAAAGGCACACUGUCUCACGGCCAGAUUGACAGGGGAGAAAAUGCACACUCGUGGCUUAGAGAGCCAGGACCCACGGGGCUCGGGCCUGGCUGCUGAUCCUGCUCUGAGACCUGAGGGACAGGGUGGCCCCCAUGCAGCAGGCCUGGCCACGCGAGGGAUGCAAGAGGGCGGCCCAUGGGCUCCCUGAGGAAGAUGAGCUCCUUCAAGCGGGGCUCGCUCAAGAGCGCCACAUCGGGGUCCCAGAAGGAACGAGAGACUCACAUGAUGCUCGCUGUGUAGCCCGCGGCCACGCCACGUGGUUCCACGUGACCCCUCCUCCCCCAACACUGGCUGUCCCACGCUGCUCCUGCCGAUCAGCUCUGCCAAGGAUCCAGCUUUUGUUGUUCUUGAAUCUGAUGUCUCCUAUUGACCUGGGCCUGGUACACUGGCGUAUGCACAGUGCCCAGAAUCGCAACGGGAACAGGGAACUCGACGGAAGGGGAGGAGGGGAGAAGCACUUAGACUUUGCUCAAGAUAAAAACAGCACCUCAUUUAUACACACUCACAACUAUUGCUACAGGACUGCACACUAUAAAUUAUCCAAGUCUAAGAACAAAGAUGAGCCCCUCCUCCCCGACUUCCAGAGGUGGUGAGCUUCAAACUCCUACAAAAACUUGUAGCAGUUAAAAGUCUUAAUGGCAGAGUUUGCCCCAAAGCCUAUUCAUAACAGCCCCAAGCUAAGCAGUAAAAUUAUUCAUGGAAGAAUGAAAGACAGUACUUAUGGCUUUAAGGACGCCAUUCUUUAAGGAAACAUCCACAAAAUCACAUGGGCAUGGACUGUUUUCAUUCUGUUUUCUUGCAUACUUAGCCCUUGUUUGACAUCAGUAGCUCGGUGCCAGUUCCCUGUUUCCUAACCAAAACCGCACCCCUCUUCCCAGUGUUUGCUGAAACACACCAGCUGCCCCGUGGGAAAAACAAACACACACUACACUAUGUACAAGUCUCUCCCACAGGUCAUCUCAUCUGGCCCUCUAUUUGCAAAGGGUAGAUUUGAGCUUUUGUCCUCUGCUGGUUGGCUCUUCCUGACUCUGAAGCUCUUCCUUCAGUAUUAGACCAACAGGGAUGCACAGCGUGGGGUACAGAGGCAUCUCAGGAAUCAGGGACCCUGGAGAUCCAGCCCUCAACAGCCUGCUCCUGGGAGUCCCCGCUGGCAAAAACAGUCCCUUUUCCAGAAAAAGCCUCUGAGUUUUCAUGUGGGAGAUGGAAAAUGUGAUUCUUGUCUGGCACUUUCAUUCUUGUCCUCAUUUUAUUUUGCUAAAAGAUACUGAUAAAGUUUGGAGUUGAAGGUCAAGGCCCUACAUAAAAUUAAAUAAUAGCACAGCCCAGGAGUUAUGCCCUAGAGUCUGCCUUAGAAAAAUUCCAGCACUUGUGCACAAGGCAAUGUGCAAAACUGCCCGUGUCCACAUUGCAUGCUAUAGAAAGCCAGAAACAACAAACAGUCUGUCUAUAAGGGCAUAGGUAAGCUUCUGUUUAUUCAAACAAUGGAUACUCUUCAGCACCUAAAUCAGAUGAACCAAGCCACCUGUAUCAACAUGGAUAAAUCUCAGAACAUACCGUCAAAUAAA